GACGAACGCUGGCGGCGUGCUUAACACAUGCAAGUCGAACGGAGCGAAUGAAAGCUUGCUUUUAUGAGCUUAGUGGCAAACGGGUGAGUAACACGUAGACAACCUGCCGAUCAGAUGGGGACAACAUUCCGAAAGGAAUGCUAAUACCGAAUGGCGUGUGGGGGAGGCAUCUCCCCUAUAUGAAAGAUGGCCUCUAUAUAUAAGCUAUCACUGAUCGAUGGGUCUGCGUCUGAUUAGCUAGUAGGUAAGGUAACGGCUUACCUAGGCGACGAUCAGUAGCCGGUCUGAGAGGAUGAACGGCCACAUUGGGACUGAGACACGGCCCAGACUCCUACGGGAGGCAGCAGUGGGGAAUCUUCCGCAAUGGGCGCAAGCCUGACGGAGCAACGCCGCGUGAGUGAAGAAGGUCUUCGGAUCGUAAAGCUCUGUUGAAGGGGACGAACGUAUAUAGUGCGAAU
Molecule: ribosomal RNA, 458 nt
Filed under: Centipeda artemidis
Lineage: Bacteria; Bacillati; Bacillota; Negativicutes; Selenomonadales; Selenomonadaceae
Description: bacterial SSU rRNA
Rfam family: Bacterial small subunit ribosomal RNA
Source: RNAcentral